GGCGCUAUAGCCAAGUGGUUACGGCGACAGAUUAGAAUUCCAAUGUUCCUUAGAUCUGUUCCUCUUUGAGGGCGCAGGUUCGAAUCCUGCUGGCGUCG
RNAcentral lists this transfer RNA (98 nucleotides) under Rhodocollybia butyracea. It matches the Rfam family "tRNA". From Rfam's summary of the family: Transfer RNA (tRNA) molecules are approximately 80 nucleotides in length. The record is from Rfam by way of RNAcentral. Lineage: Eukaryota; Fungi; Basidiomycota; Agaricomycetes; Agaricales; Omphalotaceae.